GAUGAAGAACGUAGCGAAAUGCGAUACGUAAUGUGAAUUGCAGAAUUCAGUGAAUCAUCGAAUCUUUGAACGCACAUUGCGCCCGCCAGUAUUCUGGCGGGCAUGCCUGUUCGAGCGUCAUUUCAACCAUCAAGCCCCCGGCUUGUGUUGGGGACCUGCGGCUGCCGCAGGCCCUGAAAAGCAGUGGCGGGCUCGCUGUCACACCGAGCGUAGUAGCAUACAUCUCGCUCUGGGCGUGCUGCGGGUUCCGGCCGUUAAACCACCUUCAUAACCCAAGGUUGACCUCGGAUCAGGUAGGAAGACCCGCUGAACUUAAGCAUAUCAAUAACGGAGGA
Molecule: unclassified non-coding RNA, 335 nt
Filed under: soil metagenome
Description: partial contains 5.8S ribosomal RNA, internal transcribed spacer 2, and large subunit ribosomal RNA
Rfam family: 5.8S ribosomal RNA (bases 1-120)
Source: RNAcentral